This 49-nucleotide transfer RNA is filed under the name Indosylvirana temporalis. Its description in RNAcentral is "partial tRNA-Val". Lineage: Eukaryota; Metazoa; Chordata; Amphibia; Anura; Ranidae. The record is from RNAcentral.
GCCCCUCGUUUACGCCGAGAAAAUAUUUGUUCAACCCAAAUUACCUUGA